CAAUAGCGUAUAUUAAAGUUGUUGCAGUUAGAACGCACGUAGUCGGAUUUCGGGGCGGGCCGACCGGUCUGCCGAUGGGUACGCACUGGUCGGCGCGUCCUUCCUUCCGGAGACCGUGCCUACUCUUAACUGAGCGGGCGCGGGAGACGGAACUUUUACUUUGAAAAAAUCAGAGUGUUUCAAGCAGGCAUUGCGCUCUUGCAUGGAUUAGCAUGGGAUAAUGAAAUAGGACUUUGGUGCUAUUUUGUUGGUUUCGAACACCGAAGUAAUGAUUAAUAGGGACAGUCAGGGGCACUCGUAUUCCGCCGAGAGAGGUGAAAUUCUCAGACCAGCGGAAGACGAACCACUGCGAAAGCAUUUGCCAGGGAUGUUUNCACUGA
This 380-nucleotide ribosomal RNA is filed under the name uncultured eukaryote. RNAcentral's name for it is "partial 18S ribosomal RNA". It matches the Rfam family "Eukaryotic small subunit ribosomal RNA", at positions 592 to 976 of the family's 1831-position model. The record is from RNAcentral.